Homo sapiens (human) is the source of this 680-nucleotide long non-coding RNA. RefSeq annotates it as ANKRD42 divergent transcript. The transcript has 3 exons. The record is from RefSeq and is marked validated. Lineage: Eukaryota; Metazoa; Chordata; Mammalia; Primates; Hominidae.
CACGCUACUUCCGGUUUCCUUUCCCUCAGCUAUUCCAUGGCUUUUCGUGUGGACAAAUCGGGAGGUGGUGUAAACUGGUUUUUGGUGAAAUUCGGCUCGGCCUCAUGCGAACCUAUCUAGGUCCGUCUCUGGAGUGGCCUGUCAUCGAUCGCGCCCUCCAUCGCUGAGCGACACAAGUGGAACCCCCCAGGACUGCAUUCUGCAUGAAGAAACAGCUCAGAUUUGACCAAGAUCACACAAGUAGGAGUUGAGGAAUUGGAACCCACUAUGACUGACUCCAAAUUAAUAUAGUGUUUAUAGCCACUUACAUAAUAAUGAGGGUGUUGCUAUGCUUUCCUCUGUACAAGCUGGUGGUGUAUCAAUUCGUUCUUCCUUAACUUUGGGACUGUCACAGGGUUCCUGCAAUUCGUUUUUGACAAUGUUCAACAUAAUAUUCAAGGGGUUUUCAACUGGUGUCUUGCUGGGAGAUGGUGUACAAUCAAAUGAAGAUGUCUACAAAAUGAAAGGCCCUAUGAGUACUGAUGAAAGUUCAAAAUUCUCACAUUAAAUAACAUUUAGUCUUGUAAGACCCUUGUAUGAACAAGAGAACACACAUACAACCAAAUGCAAAUGAAACACCUGCCUCCCAACAAAAUGUGCCAUAAAGACAACCAGAAAUAAAAUAUAUAUUGCACGUUCAA